This 576-nucleotide ribosomal RNA is filed under the name Priestia aryabhattai. RNAcentral's name for it is "bacterial SSU rRNA". It matches the Rfam family "Bacterial small subunit ribosomal RNA", at positions 56 to 613 of the family's 1533-position model. The record is from RNAcentral. Lineage: Bacteria; Bacillati; Bacillota; Bacilli; Caryophanales; Bacillaceae.
UGCAAGUCGAGCGAACUGAUUAGAAGCUUGCUUCUAUGACGUUAGCGGCGGACGGGUGAGUAACACGUGGGCAACCUGCCUGUAAGACUGGGAUAACUUCGGGAAACCGAAGCUAAUACCGGAUAGGAUCUUCUCCUUCAUGGGAGAUGAUUGAAAGAUGGUUUCGGCUAUCACUUACAGAUGGGCCCGCGGUGCAUUAGCUAGUUGGUGAGGUAACGGCUCACCAAGGCAACGAUGCAUAGCCGACCUGAGAGGGUGAUCGGCCACACUGGGACUGAGACACGGCCCAGACUCCUACGGGAGGCAGCAGUAGGGAAUCUUCCGCAAUGGACGAAAGUCUGACGGAGCAACGCCGCGUGAGUGAUGAAGGCUUUCGGGUCGUAAAACUCUGUUGUUAGGGAAGAACAAGUACGAGAGUAACUGCUCGUACCUUGACGGUACCUAACCAGAAAGCCACGGCUAACUACGUGCCAACACCCCCGGUAAUACGUAGGUGGCAAGCGUUAUCCGGAAUUAUUGGGCGUAAAGCGCGCGCAGGCGGUUUCUUAAGUCUGAUGUGAAAGCCCCCGGCUCAAC